RNAcentral lists this ribosomal RNA (483 nucleotides) under uncultured Bacteroidota bacterium. Its description in RNAcentral is "bacterial SSU rRNA". It matches the Rfam family "Bacterial small subunit ribosomal RNA", at positions 355 to 834 of the family's 1533-position model. The record is from RNAcentral. Lineage: Bacteria; Pseudomonadati; Bacteroidota.
UGAGGAAUAUUGGACAAUGGGCGAGAGCCUGAUCCAGCCAUGCCGCGUGCAGGAAGACGGCCCUAUGGGUUGUAAACUGCUUUUAUAGAGGAAGAAACACCCCGACGUGUCGGGGCGUUGACGGUACUCUACGAAUAAGGAUCGGCUAACUCCGUGCCAGCAGCCGCGGUAAUACGGAGGAUCCAAGCGUUAUCCGGAAUCAUUGGGUUUAAAGGGUCCGUAGGCGGGACAAUCAGUCAGCGGUGAAAGUCUGUGGCUCAACCAUAGAAUUGCCAUUGAUACUGUUGUUCUUGAAUACUUAUGAAGUGGUUGGAAUAUGUAGUGUAGCGGUGAAAUGCAUAGAUAUUACAUAGAACACCGAUUGCGAAGGCAGAUCACUAAUAAGUCAUUGACGCUGAUGGACGAAAGCGUAGGUAGCGAACAGGAUUAGAUACCCUGGUAGUCUACGCCGUAAACGAUGGUUACUAGCUGUUCGGUCGCAAG